RNAcentral lists this ribosomal RNA (440 nucleotides) under uncultured bacterium. Its description in RNAcentral is "partial 16S ribosomal RNA". It matches the Rfam family "Bacterial small subunit ribosomal RNA", at positions 338 to 795 of the family's 1533-position model. The record is from RNAcentral.
CCUACGGGAGGCUGCAGUAGGGAAUUUUGCGCAAUGGGCGAAAGCCUGACGCAGCAACGCCGCGUGAUCGAGACGCCCUUCGGGGUGUAAAGAUCUGUCAGUGGGGACGAAACUUGACGGUACCCACAGAGGAAGCACCGGCUAACUCCGUGCCAGCAGCCGCGGUAAUACGGGGGGUGCAAGCGUUGUCCGGAUUUACUGGGUGUAAAGGGCGUGUAGCCGGGUUGACAAGUCAGAUGUGAAAUCCUGCGGCUUAACCGCAGAACUGCAUUUGAAACUGUUGAUCUUGAGUACUGGAGAGGCAGACGGAAUUCCUAGUGUAGCGGUGAAAUGCGUAGAUAUUAGGAGGAACACCAGUGGCGAAGGCGGUCUGCUGGACAGCAACUGACGGUGAGGCGCGAAAGCGUGGGGAGCAAACAGGAUUAGAUACCCUAGUAGUC